RNAcentral lists this ribosomal RNA (403 nucleotides) under bacterium. RNAcentral's name for it is "partial 16S ribosomal RNA". It matches the Rfam family "Bacterial small subunit ribosomal RNA", at positions 355 to 776 of the family's 1533-position model. The record is from RNAcentral.
UGGGGAAUAUUGCACAAUGGAGGGAACUCUGAUGCAGCGACGCCGCGUGAACGAAGAAGGCUUUCGAGUCGUAAAGUUCUUUUAUAUGGGAAGAUAAUGACGGUACCAUAAGAAAAAGCCCCGGCUAACUACGUGCCAGCAGCCGCGGUAAUACGUAGGGGGCUAGCGUUGUCCGGAAUCACUGGGCGUAAAGGGUUCGCAGGCGGAAAUGCAAGUCAGGUGUAAAAGGCAGUAGCUUAACUACUGUAAGCAUUUGAAACUGCAUAUCUUGAGAAGAGUAGAGGUAAGUGGAAUUUUUAGUGUAGCGGUGAAAUGCGUAGAUAUUAAAAAGAAUACCGGUGGCGAAGGCGACUUACUGGGCUCAGUCUGACGCUGAGGAACGAAAGCGUGGGUAGCAAACAGG